This 298-nucleotide RNase P RNA is filed under the name Weissella confusa. RNAcentral describes it as "partial RNase P RNA component class A". It matches the Rfam family "Bacterial RNase P class A", at positions 12 to 282 of the family's 367-position model. Rfam says of the family: Ribonuclease P (RNase P) is a ubiquitous endoribonuclease, found in archaea, bacteria and eukarya as well as chloroplasts and mitochondria. Its best characterised activity is the generation of mature 5'-ends of tRNAs by cleaving the 5'-leader elements of precursor-tRNAs. Cellular RNase Ps are ribonucleoproteins. Lineage: Bacteria; Bacillati; Bacillota; Bacilli; Lactobacillales; Lactobacillaceae. The record is from RNAcentral.
GGCGAUCGCGUGCCCCUGGGCAUGAGGAAAGUCCGAGCACCAUAGGGCAGGAUGCCGGCUAACGGCCGGUGGAGGCGACUCCAAGGAAAGUGCAACAGAAAUAAACCGCAGGACUGCCGAUCCGUCAGUCAUCCGUGCAACACGGAUGGAAAGUGAGAAGCGGUUCCUGUAAGGAUGGAAAGGCGAGGUAAGAGCUCACCAGCGGCAUGGCGACUUGCCGGCUAUGUAAACCCCACCUGAUGCAAGAUUGAUUGUGGAACACAUGUGGCGGCCCGUCACGUUCCCGGGUAAUCGCUAG